AUCCACGCUAUAAUGCCAGUUAUUAUUCACGUUAGACAAAUAGGUACCUAUUGUACAGCACUUCAAUGUGUAACGAAUUAUUUCGUACAAUAAACCUGAAAGAGUGAAAAUCGGAACUAAUAUCUUAAAUGCAGGUUAAAAAAAAAAAAAACAUAUCCGGCAGUAAAUCGGCGCAAGAUGGUUCCAUUGUAGGACAUGAUAAUCUCAGGUUGGCGGCUCUGUUGCAAAGAAUAAAGUUAUGCGUGAAUGCUUUUGUAUUUUCAAAGAUCACCAACAUGCAAGAUGACUCCUACUGUCGUGAUGCCCUUAGAAUGAAGGGCUUCUUAAGUAUGCCAUCACUGAAGUUAAGUGAGCCUCACACUGGAGAAGCGACAAACUGAACGCGGAAAAGAAUCGGGGAUAUAUAUAUAUAUAUCUUCCAUUAUAGAAGACCUGACUAGGAUUCGUCUACGAUAAACCCUGAAAAAUACUGGUAUAGGAAUAGAAAUACUAGUCGAGACCUAUGGAAAAUCGUGUUAUACUUCCUGCAAUUUCAGAAGUUUUAAUUUCUUGUAAAUCAUAAUGAAAUAAAAUUUUGAUUUAUAAAACAUUAGUGAACUUAACUGAGUUAAUGAAUAUCUGUACCUGAAACUAUGGAAUCAUUGUCUCCUGUCCUUUCGACAAAGCAGCUGUAUGAUUCACGAACAAAUACUCAUUUUUAAAAGCAACCAGAUAUGGCUACAGCUAACGUAACUGCAGUAGCGAAGGGUAACGCCUGAUAGUCUUUGGAAGUGCUUGACUCAGCUCGAGGGGAACUGCCAGCUCUGCUGCUGUGCGGUAGUUUCAGUCUGCUGCGGCUGAUGAGCGAACUGCCCUGCAGGUGUCUGCGGGUUGCCGUCGACUCCCCGGCUCUGCCUGCUCUCCCAACCCUGCUGGUCUGGAGCCUGGCUCUGCGGGAACGCCACCGACUGGGAGCCUUGGCUCGCUCCAAGACCGGGGUCACCGACGUCCUCGCUGUUCCUGGAGCUCCUGUUCCAGUCGUGAGGUGGCGGCUGCUGUUGCGGAUCACCGACGGACCUGCUGGCUACCAGAGCGACGUGUAGUGUUGCCACCAGUGCAACCUGAAAACACACAGAGGAACACACUGCAUUCAUACAAUCUGCAGCAGACAAACAUGUGGGGAGUGGCCACAGCACAGCGGCCUGCAGCCAGGCUACUCACGUGAGCGAAGCCGGCCCCGAGGACCAUGUCCUGGGCCAGGCAUGCCCGACGCUUCCCCGGCGGCGAGCCAGCGGCCUGUGUCCAGGGACUCGGCCCUCGGGGGGAGACGGAUUAACGGGACCCCGCCGGGCCGAGAACUGGGGCAGAGCUGCACCGCGCCAGGCGGUCACGGCUCGACCGACCUACACCGUGCCGGUCAUACGUCGUCGCUUCUCGCCCGAGAGGACUCGGUCCACCCGGGCGAGGGGGCAGCACUUUCAUCAGCAUCGACCUCAAGGACGGCUGAAGUAAAUACAGCCAAGGUGACGCGGCAAUAGAAUCCAGUAGUGAAUUAAGCAGGCGUCCCCCUUAACCAUCAGCUGCAUAGCCUGCUUACCAUGCAAGAGUCCAGAGUGGAAAAACCCCUCGGGUGUUUGAGCGAGGAGACUAAUGUUAUUAUUUCUUGGUUCAAACCUGAACAAUAAAGUACUUAACACG
Molecule: long non-coding RNA, 1677 nt
Organism: Bacillus rossius redtenbacheri
Lineage: Eukaryota; Metazoa; Arthropoda; Insecta; Phasmatodea; Bacillidae
Exons: 3
Source: RefSeq, a predicted model, not a curated record